RNAcentral lists this ribosomal RNA (253 nucleotides) under uncultured bacterium. RNAcentral's name for it is "partial 16S ribosomal RNA". It matches the Rfam family "Bacterial small subunit ribosomal RNA", at positions 524 to 776 of the family's 1533-position model. The record is from RNAcentral.
UACAGGGGGGGCAAGCGUUGUUCGGAAUUACUGGGCGUAAAGGGCUCGUAGGCGGCCAACUAAGUCACACGUGAAAUCCCCAGGCUUAACCUGGGAACUGCAUUCGAGACUGCAUUGCUAGAGUAUGGGAGAGGGAAGUGGAAUUUCCGGUGUAGCGGUGAAAUGCGUAGAUAUCGGAAGGAACAUCAGUGGCGAAAGCGGCCCCCUGGUUGGAUACUGACGCUGAGACGCGAAAGCGUGGGGAGCAAACAGG